CUUCGGGCGGAAGUGAAGCCUAGACAGGGGCCCAGGGGUGGGUGUGACAGCCCCUGCCGCUAGCACGACAACAACCGAGUGUCAAAAAGGGGUUCCUGGGAAAGUGGGAACCGGGCGGCUCGCUGUCGUGGCAGGGAGCUUUGGCUGGAGGGAACCCUCGAAUCUUUCUCCCGAGAACUCGAGAGCAGUAGCUGUUUGUCGAUAGCCGGGACACCCUGUAAAACCGAGCCUUGCACGUAAAGCAGCGGACCUUCCUUUUAAAGCGGCUGCAAGUGCCACGACUAUGUCAAUUAAAGAUUGCUGGGCAGAAACCCUUUAAACUUUCUAUCAACUGGCUGAUUAAUAUUGCUGGAAAUAGGAAAGAUGGAAGAAGCUUUCAAAACUGCGACUCAAAGCCUUGAUUUAGAUCAAGGUUGUUUCUCUAUGAUGGAUGAAUCCAGUCAACAAGAAGCCCCGUCUCCCAAAUUAUCUAUUACUGAAUUGAGCAAAGAGUUAGAUUCAAAGAGUGAGCUGAUUGAUGACAAAGAAUUUGAUAUUCCUCAAGUUGAUACUCCUCCAACAUUAGAAAGUAUUUUAAAUGAAACUGAUGAUGAAGAAGAGCCAUUUGUUCUUGAGGAUCCUUCUCUUUUGAACAUUGAUAACAUUGAUACUCAUUCAUAUGAUACUUCGUCAGUAGCAAGCUCUGAUAGUGGAGAUAAAUCACAUCUAAAAAGAAAGAAGAAACUCCGUGAUUCAUUCUCCAUCCAUGGCUCAGUUAUACGGCUGUCACUUUUGAAGGGUAUUUCUACCCAAAUAGUAUCUGCAGCAGCCAAAGUGGAUGCAGGUUUACCGACUGCAAUUGCAGCAUCAAGUCUUAUAGCAGUAGGAACAUCCCAUGGUCUAGCUUUGAUAUUUGAUCCUAACCAGGCUCUUCGGCUUUGCUUGGGCAAUACUGCUGUUGGUGCACAGUAUGGGGCUAUAUCUGCUCUUAGCAUCAACAAUGACUGUUCGAGACUUCUGUGUGGCUUUGCAAAAGGACAGAUUACAAUGUGGGAUCUGGCCAGUGGAAAACUGUUACGAUCAAUAAUAGAUGCACAUCCUCCAGGAACUGCAAUUUUGCACAUUAAGUUUACAGAUGAUCCAACUCUCGCAAUCUGCAAUGACAGCGGUGGUUCAGUAUUUGAACUGUCAUUCAAGAGAGUAAUGGGUGUGAGAACGUGUGAAUCUCGCUGUUUGUUCAGUGGUUCGAAGGGAGAGGUUUGCUGCAUUGAGCCUUUACAUGCGAAGGCUGAGCUGAGAGACCAUCCUAUCACCCAAUAUUCUCUGCUAGCUAUGGCUUCCUUAACAAAGAUUCUUGUGAUUGGAUUGAAGCCAUCUUUGAAAGUGUGGAUGACAUUCCCAUAUGGUCGUAUGGAACCAUCUAGUGUUCCACUGCUUGCCUGGUAUUUUGUUGCUGCCCAAACAUCUGUGAAUCCAGUGCUUGCUUUCUGUCGGGGAGAUGUGGUCCAUUUCCUUCUGGUAAAAAGAGAUGAAUCUGGAGCAAUACAUGUUACGAAGCAGAAGCAGCUACACUUGCAUUAUGAUUUAAUCAAUUUUACAUGGAUAAACUCCCAUACAAUUGUGCUUCUAGACAGUGUGGAAAAAUUACAUGUGAUAGAUCGUCAUACACAGGAGGAACUUGAGACUGUAGAAAUAUCAGAAGUUCAGCUAGUAUACAAUAGCAGCCACUUCAAAUCGUUGGCAACAGGAGGCAAUGUUAGCCAAGCACUGGCGCUGGUAGGUGAGAAGGCUUGCUACCAGUCAAUCAGCAACUGUGGUGGUCAGAUUUUUUAUUUGGGUACAAAGUCUGUUCAUGUUUUAACACUGAGGACCUGGAGGGAGAGGAUCGAUCACCUUCUGAAACAAGAAUGUCUUAAUGAAGCAUUGGCUUUGUCGUGGUCCUUUCAUGAAGGAAAAGCCAAAGCUGUUGUGGGCUUAUCUGGGGAUGAACAAAAACGGAAGGCUGUUGUUGCAGACAGGAUGGUUGAAAUACUUAUUCAUUGUGCUGAUCGAACCAUGAAGAAAUGUCCUGAGCAGGGUAAAAUCCAAGUUAUGGAACAACAUUUUCAGACUAUGGUCCCUGUCAUUGUUGACUAUUGUCUUCUGCUUCAGCGAGUAGAUAUAUUAUUUGGUCAAAUGUAUGACAAGAUGAGUGAAAAUUCUGUAGCAAAGGGAGUGUUUUUAGAAUGUCUUGAGCCAUACAUUUUAAGUGAUAAAUUGGUUGGAAUCACAGCUCAGAUUAUGAAGGAUUUGCUACUUCAUUUCCAAGAUAAGAACUUAAUGGCAAACAUGGAAGCCUGCAUUGUACAUAUGGAUAUUACCAGCCUUGAUAUACAACAGGUUGUCCUUAUGUGUUGGGAAAACCACCUAUAUGAUGCCAUGAUAUAUGUCUAUAACAGUGGAAUGAAUGACUACAUUACUCCAAUGGAGAAAUUGUUCAAAGCCAUUGCUCAUCCACUUAGUGCUGGAAAAUCUCUCUCAGAUGAGCAAGUCAUUAUGGGCAACAAACUGCUUGUCUACAUAAGCUGCUGUUUGGCAGGCCGAGCUUACCCAUUGGGCAAUAUUCCUGAAGACCUGGUACCACUGAUUAAAAACCAAGUCUUUGAAUUCCUUAUCCGUCUGCAUUCAGCUGAGGCCCCUACAGAUGAAGAAGUGUAUCCCUACGUUCGUACACUGUUGCACUUUGAUACACGAGAGUUCCUUAAUGUUCUUGCACUGACAUUUGAAGAUUUUAAGAAUGACAAGCAAGCUGUGGAAUACCAACAGAGAAUUGUGGACAUAUUACUCAAGGUUAUGGUGGAGAACUCUGAUUUUACCCCAUCACAAGUUGGAUGCCUUUUUACUUUCCUUGCUCAACAGCUUGCUAAGCCAAACAACACAUUGUUUGUGAAUAGGAUGCUAUUUGACCAGGUCCUUGAAUUUCUCUGCAGUCCUGAUGAUGAUUCACGACAUUCUGAAAGACAGCAGGUUCUUUUAGAAUUGCUUCAGGCUGGAGGUAUAGUGCAGUUUGAAGAAAACAGACUCAUUCAAAUGGCAGAAAAAGCUGAAUUUUACCAAAUCUGUGAAUUUAUGUAUGAACGGGAACAUCGCUAUGAUAGGAUAAUUGAUUGCUACUUGCAUGAUCCCUUGAGAAAGGAAGAAGUUUUCUCCUAUAUCCACAAUAUUCUUUCCAUUCCUGGGUAUAGUACAGAAGAAAAGCAAUCUGUGUGGCAGAAAACUAUGAAACAUAUUGAGGAGCUGACAUCAGUGAGUCCUUUUAAAACAGCAGAUCUUAUUUCUAUUCAUUUCAGUGACGAGAUUGAACAAAUAAUUCAGAUUCUACAGGAUGAACAUUUACUUUUCCAAUUUUUGAAGAGUCUCCUUGAUCCAAGGGAAGGUAUCAAUCAAGAUUUGCUUCAGCUUUCUCCCUCUAUUACUGAACAGUUUAUUGAUUUGCUGUGUCGGUAUGAUGCUGACCAGGUCUUAGAGACUUUGAAGUUCCUGGAGUCCUAUAGACCGGAAGAGAUAAUUCAGGUCACCCAAAAAUAUCAGCUCCAUGAGGCUUCUUCUUACUUGCUUGAAAAGAAAGAUGACAUUCCUGGUGCCUUCUUAAUUAUGCUUGAGUGGUUACAAAGCAAGCUUUCAGCACUGACUUCUGGAGAUAAAACACAACUUCCUUUACUAAAAGAUAUUGAAGGUACCUUAGCAAAAACAAUUGCACUUUGCCAGAGGAAUUCACACAAAUUUAAUCAGCAGGAGCGAGAAGCACUGUGGUUUCCGCUCCUAGAGGCAAUGUUGUCACCCCAAAGAUCUGCACUGCUACCCUGUUACUCUGAAUAUUUGAAGAACUUGACAAUGCAAGUAUUGAACAAUAUGACAACAUUCAUUGCUCUGCCAUUAAUUUUGCAGAGAAUCCUACAGGAUCCAGUAUAUGGAAAAGGAAAACUUGGAGAAAUUCAGAGUCUUGUACUGGGUAUGCUAGACAGCUUUAACUAUGAGCAGACUCUUUUGGAGACAACAACAAGCUUACUUAACCGUGAUCUCCACUGGUCCUUACGUAAUUUGAAAGCAUCUAUGACUAGAGGCCUCAAUCCCAAACAAGAUUAUUGCUGUAUUUGUUUGCAACAGUACAAGAGAAGGCAACAGACUGGUGACCAAAUUGUAGUAUUCAGUUGUGGCCAUUUGUACCAUUCUCUUUGUCUGCUAAGUAAAGAGUGUGGCACUGAAACAACAGGACAGAUGAGGUGGACUUGCUUUAAAUGCAGUGCAAGUCAUAAAGGAGAGAAAGUAAGUUUGACUUCCUUGGAGAUGAAGAAAAGAACUCCGGUAUCACUUGCUCAGACUAGUUCAGAGUGUCUGUUGGAUCCUCAGCAAGCUCAAGCUUUUGACCAGCUCUGUCGUCUAUAUCGUGGAACAUCAAGGUUGGCACUUUUGACUGAAUUGUCUCGAGAUCAUGGUGGUGAAAAACAUGGUUUUGUCCAAGUCUCCCAGGGGUCUUCUGCUCUGAAUAGUGUCUUCCAAAAUGAGACUUUUCAGCUUCACCUCAAUCCUCCUCCUCUUCUAGAAGACUAAUCCUUGAGUAUCAAGCAUUGUGAAAAAAUACUUCCAAUGUUUGCUGGUGGAUCCAAAGUAAAAGGGGCUGUUGUGGCUGCAGUUGUUAACAAGACAUUUUAAGACAGGAAAUCAAGAGAUUUUAAAGCCGUGAAAGCCACUAGUAUUCUGAUAAUUAAGCCAAGUAAGAAGAAAAUAGGAUUGCAUUGACUAUGCCAUAUAAAAGCAGGAUCAAGGAAAAGGAUAUUGAUAUAAAAAAGAACCAUCAAUCAAUUGCAAAAGGCAGCUUUACUUGGAACAGCUUACAUUCUGGGAGGAUCUGGAGUCAGCAGAAUAAAAGAGAAAGAACUGGAGAAAAUCAUAGAAUACAAAAACGUGCAAAUAGGAUGGCUGUGGCAAAAGAAAGCAAAAAUAAUACCAAUAGUAACAGGCAACUCAGGUGUAGUCCCAAAACAUCAGGAACACCACUUAAUACCAUCAUCAAUUGACAAAAUCACUAUCAGUUGCAAAAGGCAGCUUUACUCAGAACAGCUUACAUCCUGAACAUACCUUUAAUACCAUCAAACAAAAUCUGCCUAUCCCUGCUCCUAUCUGUCUGACUGUGCAAUGAACCAUAAUAAAACAGAAUAGCUGGGAAAGAUUAUUUCGCUGUUGAUACUUCAGGGUUCUCUGUCAUCACCAGAGUUGUUCCUUGACUGGCAAGUAAUACCUAUCAGGGAGCAGGUUCAUAACUUGGAGCUCCUUCUGGUCUCCUAGCCCCUGCAGGUAGAAACUGUGGCCAGAGGGAAUUAUGCCCAUUUUGGUGGUGCAUCAGUUGCAACCCUACCUGAGGUAGAAGUGUUUACCAAUAAUAACUCGUGCUCUUAUUAUUACCUAGCUGAGCUACUGUUAUAUGUUACAGUUGGCUCUAUCCUUAAAAAGUAGUUAGAAAUUACAAUUGGUCCAAAAUGGAUGGUCCCACAUGAUUUUGCAGAUCCUGCAUUGGUUGCUAAUUGGUUUCCAGGUACAAUUUAAAGUACUGGUUUUAACUUAUAAAUUCCUUUAAUACCCCGUGCCUGGAUAUCUGCAGUAUCACCUCCUUCAACCAAUACUGUCUGAACAAUUAAAGCAAAGUGGGGACACUGUCAUUAUUCCAUUAUUUUGGGGUUCCAUCAUUCUGAGCGAUUGCAAUGAAAAGUGCUGCUUUUCCAUGGCACGUUGACCCUAAGGAACAGAAUAGCCCCCUCACUGAUGUUUCAGAAGCUUUAAAAGUCAGAGCUGGUCUUCUGAUUUGAUCAUGCCAUCUUUACUUUCUAUUUGUAUUGUUUGUAGCUUUAUGUUUUGACAGUAUCGUUUUAUUCUUUCUAUGGUUAUUUUUAUACCAUGAAGGUUUACUUGGGUUUUACAAUCUGUGUAAGCAGCUGAGAAUCUCUGGAUUGAAGUUGGGGCAGAAAUGUGAAAAAUAAAUGUAGAGUAGGAGUGAUAACUUCCAGAAUCUGGAAGCAAGCAUGAUAAAUUGGGCAGAGGCAGAAGUAGGUAGAGAUAUUGCUGACUUUUGUUUCUUUUCAAUGGAAUUACAUACUUCUGCUCUGCUUAUGUAUGUAGCCCUUCUUAUUUUAUGUUCUAAUAAAAAUAACGUCAAUACCUGGAAGGAAGUAAUGCCAGUGCAAGCAACAUUAUGUAAAGCAAAGAAAAGUAUAAAAAGUAUAAAUAAAAAUAAUAAUAAAGGGUGAUACAAUAAAAGAACAGAAAAAAAAUGACUAAAUGUAAUUUACACAACCACCACAAUGUAAUUUAUAUUAACAUGUUUAAAUAAAAAGAUAAAGACUGAAACAAGCAAUAUAAAGUAAGGAGAAAGAGAAAGCAAAAAGUGCAAGGAAAGAAAAAAAGGUAGAAAAGAAAAAAAAAGAUAUCAAGAAGUGGUUUUGAUAGCAAUAAUAAGUACAAAUAUACUUAGAACUCUCUCUAUAAGGUUACAUCAAACAUGUACUAUUCUUUCUAUAAUCUGUCCUAAUCAUCAAAACCCUAAAUCCCAAAAUCAUUUUUCUCAUUUUAUGCAGAAAGUCCAUAAGUGGCUAUCAGUCACCAAUAAAUAUAAAUAAUGGCUUUUCCCCACUCAAAAGAAGUCAAUUUAUUCAUUUCAGCAAAAUUGUGUCAACACUUCUCUAUACCUUCCUAUCCUUACAAAGCACCCCUUUUUCCAUCAUGUCCAAACAUUAGUUCAUUAUUUGCCUUUUACUAUUUAAAUUUCCUCACUUCUCUUUGAGUAUGUUAUCAACUUCAUCCCACUAUAAGUUUCAUUGUAUUCCUCUUCCUCUGAAACCAUUUGGUCUUUGUUUUAAUUUGUUUUAAUUUGUUUUAAUUUGUUUUUUUAUUUGUUUUUAAUUUGUUUUAAUUUGUUUUAGGGUUUGUCAUCCAUUCUAUCUAAAUAAUUAAAUGAACGCAGUGCAUUUAUUUUGCAUGGGUCCCUCACUUUUAUAUAUUCAGUCCACAUUCAGAAAUCAUCCAUUUAUUUUUUAUUUUAUAUGAUUUGAUUUAACACACACUGCAUAAUAACAUAUUCUUAUUGGGUUUACUUUUUUGGUUUCUCCUAACAAGAAAUAACAUACCUCUAUAUAAAAAUUGGACAAAAUAAUAAUUCUGCUCAACAUCUUCCUAGACAAACUAAAUAAAUUGAACCUCCUGUUCCUGAGGUUUUUAUAUUCACUCAUGCUCCCCUCCCCAAUCUCUCUCUGUAUAGGAGAGCAGUAAUCACAUUCCUCAAUCAUCAAAUAUAAAUAGUCUUGACACACAUAUUAAACAAGAUACACAGCUAUAAGCAAACCACAUCCAUAUGUCAACUUUUCUUCAAUUAUAACAGCUAUGUUUGUAGUCUUGCAAUUAAUUGUGUAUGGCUUCCUUUUCAAAAAAAAAUUCUUGGAUAUAUUAACCCAUUUGCCCCAUUUUUUAAAGUUCUACUCUUUUUCAAUCCUGUUUCCAUGUCUAACAUACUCCCAGCAACAUAUCCUCACUUCAGUUUUAUAAUAUUUUUUUUAUUUUAAUUCUAGUCCUUCUGCUGAAGUAUUCAGUUCUUUCAUCCACUUUCAAUACAGUUUUUUUUAAAUUUUCAUCAAAAAUGCUGUACUUUAUUUUAUAUGCAUUGUUCAGUUUUAACAGACCUUGUUCUCUUGGACUACUGUGUGUUCUUUUUAGCUAUCCUUUCUUUUUCUUCCUCACAUUUUGCCACAAGUGCAGAGUCUGCUUUUUUCUUUUCCUGGAUCAACCAAGUGCCACUGAGCCUGACUCUCUCAUGGACUGAGACAGAACAACUGGCCCAAAGUCACCUUGUUGACCUCCAUGCUUAAGGAGGGAUUAGAACUCAUAUUUUCUUGAUUUCUUGCCUAGUGCCUGAACUACUGGAACACCACUACUAGUCUCUCUACUCUUUGCAACUAUCUCUCUGUACAGAAUACACAAUGUAUUCCCUCUUAAAUUUAAAUUUCACAGCAGCCAUUCUUCCUCAUGCAUUUUUUUCAUCUACAGCCUCCUUCACUUCAUUAUUCCACCAGCUCUUUUUUUUCCUGUGCCAACUUUUAACAUUUUUUCAUUCUUUCUAAACAGCUUUCAUAUAAUCUUUCCUUGUAUCCAUUUCCAUUCAUUCUUUUGAGUAAUCUUCUAACACGUUUUCAUACAAGAGUCAUAGUUUCUCUUCCUGUUGUCAUUCUGCUUUUAUCUUUAAUUUCUUUCACUUCCUUUUCUUCCACAUCCCUUUUUUCAUUCAGCUGUAUCCAUAACACAGGCACAAUUUCCUGCUGACAGGGCACAAUAGCAUACUUGGUCGGAAUAGCACUGAAAUUAUUUUACCCCACAGUAUUUCAGUAGAAGGCUCCAAUUUUAUAAUUAUUUUAAAUAACCCUCAUUUUGCACUGGAAGAAAACAUAAAUCUUACUUUUUUAUUUUCAGUAGGGAAGCUCCUAUCAAUAAAAAGAAUGGUGUAAGUAUUUUAUUAUUCUCCUUUUAAUGGAUUUUCUGAAAAGAAAACUGAUGGACAGGCAGGGGGGAAACUGGGAUGGUUACAGAUGGAAAACAACUUUGCCUGAACUACUGCUAAAUUUUGUGAAAAAGGAAGAGUAUUUGCGUAAUAAAAAUCUUUGUGGAGGCUCAUAUCAAAUGAUCUAAGUGCCAAAGCCCACUGUAACAACAUCACCAAAAAGGCAUUAAGGGUUGUAAACCUAAUCUUGUGUAGCUUCUUCUCCAGUAAUAUUACACUACUAACCAGAGCAUACAAAACAUUUGCUAGACCAAUUUUCGAAUACAGCUCAUCUGUCUGGAACUCGCACUGCAUAUCGGACAUUAAUACAAUUGAACGUGUCCAGAAAUAUUUCACAAGAAGAGUCCUCCACUCUUCUGCUCACAACAAAAUACCUUACGCCACCAGACUUGAAAUUUUGGGCUUAGAAAAUUUAGAACUACACCGCCUUCAGUAUGACCUAAGCAUAGCUCAUAAAAUUAUCUGCUACAAUGUCCUACCUGUCAAUGACUAUUUCAGCUUCAACCACAACAAUACACGAGCACACAAUAGAUACAAAUUUAAGGUAAACCACACCAAACUCGAUUGCAGAAAAUAUGACUUCAGCAACAGAGUUUUCAUGCCUGGAAUGCACUACCUGACUCUGGUUUCAUCCCAAAACCCCAAAAAUUUUAACCUUGGACUGGCUACUGUUGACCUCACCCCAUUCCUAAGAGGUCUGUAAGGGGCAUGCAUAAGAGCACCAGCAUGCCUACCAUUCCUGUCCUAAUGUUCCUUUUAAUUGUAUUCAUCUUAUGUAUUCAAUUCAUGCUUAUACUUACAUAUAUUAUUUAAUAUAUACUCGACAAAUAAAUAAAAUAAAAAUAAAGCACCUGUACAAUCACCUAGCCUGCCACAAAUAAUAGCAUGCUGACUGGGGAAUUCUGGGCACUGAAGUCUACAUAUCUUAAAAGUUGCCAAGUUUGAAAAACACUGAUACAGAUUGUCCACAUGGCAAUUAUAUUUAUUCUUUCAUUAAAAGAGAAAGAUGACAAUUGCAUCUCUUUACCAUUCAACUGAUGGCACCACAUUUUAUUUCAGAUUGGUGAAAGAGUAUGCUACACUAUCACAGUUCCUUCUUUUUGUUUACAAUUGCAAAUACUACCCAAAUGCCUUUGCUUUUAGGCAGGGGUGAAAUCCAGCAGGUUCUGACAGGUUCUGGAGAACUGGUAGUAAAAAUUUUGAGCGGUUCGGAGAACCGGUAGUGGAAAUUUUGAGCAGUUCAGAGAACCGGUAGUGGAAGUUUUGAGUAGUUCAGAGAACUGACAAAUCAAACCUCUGGCUGGCCCCAGAGUGGGGUGGGAGUGAAAAUUUUGCAGUAUCCUUCGCCUGGAGUGGGGUGGGAAUGGAAAUUUGCAGUAUCCUUCCCCUGCCACAUCCACCAAGCCAUACCCACCAAGCCAAACUAUGCCCACCAAGCCACGCCCACAGAACCGGUAGUAAAAAGAAAUGGAUUUCACCACUGCUUUUAGGGUACAUGUGAUAAACAUGUGAUAUGGAAAAACAGAAGUUAAAAACUGUAAUAUAUAUAAAACCAAAAAUGUAGCUCAGUGCAGGGAACUAGAAAAACAGAAUAAAAAUAUUCUUGUCCGGUGGCAGGAUAAUGAAGUGGCUGCCAGGCAAGUAUCAUUGGAAAAUAGAAGGACAUUAAAUGCAGGGAUUUAUCAUCAAGAAGACCCUCUCUCUUGUUGCCAGUGAGAUAUUCUGAUGACCGAGGGCAUCUAGUAAAAUACAUUUUGAUAAUGACCCAGUAUAAAUGCAUGCUCAUUCUGAUAUUGUAGAACUUAGUAGAAACUAAGGGUAUGUUUUCUGUUCAGACAGUGGAAGAUGACACUGAGAACAUACUGAUUCAAAAGUAAUUCUAAGAAUAGCAGACAUAUGGCUGCAGCGUGUGAAAAUCUGGGUUUGUUUAUAAAUCCCUCCAAUAACUAGAUAGAUAAGCAGCAGUUAAUUACUAAUAUAUGAUUAUUUAAAGAUGGGCAAAUAUUUACAAGUAAUUGGAAAAUAAAUGCAAUUUGGAGGAGUAUGCUUUUUUCUAAAAGCGAUCUUUUCCCUGAAACACAUCCUGCCUUCCACAAGCCUUUUAUAAUUUGACAUAAAAAGAACUGAAUAUUUUUCAUAAGUGAAAACUCUAAGAUUUUAUGAUGUUUAAAAGGAUCAAUUAGAUUAUGGGUUCCUGUAGAACAGUCUUCUCCUCCCACCCCAGCCCUGCAGUGAAAAUAUGAACACAGCUUCCUUCUCCAUAAACAGAUGUUUUGUUUUUCGCCUGGAAGUAGCAAUUCAAUAUUGAAUUGCCUCUAGACCCACCAGGAAAAAGUUAGGAAAUAACCCAAAGUAACCUACCAGAGAAAAUGAGAAUUACUGUUUCUGCCCAGAGCAACUUCCAUAAUAUCACAGAUAACACUUUUGAACACUAAAGUAUGCAUUCCUGAGCUGGAAAACAGUGGAUGAUUUUAUGGUUCCAAAGGAAACACUUUACUUUUUGGAUUCAAGAUAGAUCGCAGACAGGGAGGAAAGGGGAGGGGGCUUCUGAGACUGUGGAAAACAAGAAAUUGUAUUGUUUUGCACACAGACUCCAUCUCUGAAUAGUGAGAUGUUUUAAGGAUUCAAGUGUUCACAAGAGUCCUAGUUUCCUUAGAAGGAGCCACCAUAAAUAUAUGUGAUAUGUGGCUGAGCUAAUUAACUGAAGCUUCACAGCAGGUUGAUAAAUUCCAGUUUCCCAUUAAAAAUUAUGGUAAACUUUUAAUGCUAUUGGAUUUCCUGCAUUUAACAAAGUUAGCUGCCUGCUAUCUUCUGAGAUCCAUGAAUUCCUGAAUACCUGAACUUCCUAUAAGCUUCUAUUGGUUAUCCCAGCAAGGGAGAAAAGCACAAUGAGUUAUUUCUAUAAUCACUUUCUUCGGCAAUUCUACUUCUUGAAAUGUUUGCAGUUAUCAACUAAUUUUUGAGGCCCUAAAGCUCUAUAUAGCCUCCGGUGACAUUUUUACAGUACCAUAAUACCCUAUAAACAAAACAGCUAAAAAUUAAUGGCAUAGUUUCUUGUCAUUUUGAAGCAGAAAAAAAAUUAUAAAAUGGACUUAGCUUGAUUUAACACAGUUUUUUUAAAGAGACACCCGAAAUAUAGAUGAAACCAGUAUAGAUUGGCUCUCUUUAUAUUAUAGAGCCCUGUCCAUUUUGUAUCACCCUCACUCUAGCCCUUUCUUCUUAGAAAAUGUUACUAGUGGCAAACUGUAUUACUACAGGUACAUGCACUGAUUACCUAUACAUAUCGUAGCAAAUGGAAAAUUUUCUGCAUCACACAUAUGGCUUGGUGGGGUGUUAGAGAUUCAUAGUUUGUGUGUUAUGGUUAGGGCAGGAUUCUUAAAAUUACACCAAAAGUUAUUCUCUUCCACAUAUGCAUUCAAAAAGUCUCUAAUACUUCAUUUUCAUGUGUGCAAUACUGAGGGAACUGAUUUCACCCCAAACAUAAUUAAUAAGGGCCCAUAAAAACACCCUUCAAAGUGUAAAAUAUCUCUUCUAAAUUGAUGCUUGUUUGCUCUCAUAUGCAUAUAUCAUAUACAGAACAAAAGCAAAUCUUUUCUUUAACAAUAUUUUAAUUAUAUGGAUAUUAUAAUAGAUGUAACCUGUUACCCUAGUUAUUAAGAGAGAAGUCCAAUUGAAUACAGCAGGAUUGCUAUAUGAAUCUAUGAAGAUUAGUAUAAUUAUUCAAUUUACAGUGCAAUCUUUAACAUUUCUUUUCAGAAUAAAAUCCACUGAGACCUGCUUUGUCAGGGUACAUCAAUUUCAUGUCUACAUGGGCAUGUUGGAUGAGGUGCCACAACAGCACAGGGCCAGUUAUCAGUAUACUGAAACUACUUGUAGUCUUUUGAAGUAAUUAUUUUUAAUAAGAUUGGCUCUCAAUCAAAGUCUUUGCUUGACAUAUUGCUUGACAUAGUGCAAGCCGCCCUGAGUCUUCGGAGAAGGGCGGGAUAUAAAUGCAAAUUUAAAAAAAAGUCAAUCUAAGGUAUAAAUAUAUACCUACUCUAAUUAAUAUAUUCCAAUAUAUCUUACCUUUUAACUAUCCAUACAUUACAUUAUGCACAUAAUGUCUUUGAGGAAUCUUCAAACACAUAUGAAUAAAAUAGCAGGGUGUGUGAUUUCUUAUUCCCCAUUAUGGUUUCUAGAGCAAUGAAUCUGAAUAACAAAAAUGCAACAUUUAUAAAAAAGUGGGACAGGAAGCUUCCUAAGUGCAAUAUAAGUGUGAAAAGAAUUUCCUUGUUUAUUCAACCAAAAAAAUCCAUCUAAUCUAAUGUACUGUUACAAUCGCCAGUUAGUAUUACCAGAAGGAUUGAUAGGUAUUACAACCUUUUUAUUUUGCAUCAUUUGAUAGUGACAUCUUUGGAGUAAAGGUUAAGUGUUUUAAUAUUCCCAUAACUAAUAAAAUAAGAACUUAUACAUUUGUCUACAUUUGAGAAAUCAUCAAUAUGUGAAGAAUCUUAAGAAUUCUUAAAGUCAUCUUUACUUACUCAGGAACACACACAUAAAACUAAAUCCAAACUAAAAAGUUAGAUGAUCACAUGUGAGAUACUGAAGUAAAAAAUAAAGACAUGUUAAUUCAUAUUCUUGUUGUUUUAUUUUCUCUAAUCACAUUAGUAGUUCCAUGUCAUGACUGAUUCUGCUAAAUGUUAACAGGGUUUACCAUGACCUUAAUCUGUUCAACAUAAUCACAAAAAGGGAUAAUUUAAUAAGAAAAUAUUUUAAAUCUAUUUCAAAAGUGUUUAUCUGAAUGUAAUUUUUUCAGUGUAUCAAAAUAAAAAAAAAAAUGUUUUCAAGUAAUAUAUUAGAGUGAAAAAAAUAAUUAAUAUGCCAUUUUCUAAUACUAAGGCUCAUUAACUAGUAGAAGGAAAAUACCAUUGAGCCAUUAUAUUCUACACUGAUGAAGAAUUACUGCAUUUUUUUAAUACAAGGACUUCAAUCUGGUAGCAGCAGUGAAUACCUUCAAGUGAAUAAUGAGCUGAUGUGUGGUGAGAGUGGUCCCUGCAAGUCUUAAGAUGCAUUCAUUCUUGAAAUAGACCAGAUAGUCUUUCAAAAGAUUUCCUGAACGCAAAUAAUUUUAUACAUGUGAAAAAGGCUUUCUGAAUUCACAGUUGUUAAAUAUCUUUGCAAAGUAGGUUCUACAAUGGAAACCUUGGCAUGAUUAUUAUGAAAACAUGAUUUACACUCCCAAAACUUAUAAAUAUAUUAAUGUGUUUGUGUCUCUCUGUGUGUAUAUGUGUAUGGGUGUGUGUAUGUGCAUGCAUGUGCAUGUAUGUAUGCAGGGAUAGAUGAGAGAGAGAGAGAGAAUGCCUUAAGAAAUUAACAGGUAUCUAAAUGAUUGUACAAUUGAAUUUGCUUUACAAUUAAUAUCAUGUCUAAAAUGAAAUCUCUUGAGUUUCAUAAAGUUGAAUAUGUUAAAAGUUUGCUUUUUAGCAGUGGAUUGAUAAAAGAUAAUAUUUGAAAAAGUUAGUACAGGAAAUGUAUCAUUUUUUGCAUUCCACUGUGUUUCAUUUACAAAAAAACUCGGUUUUUACUUGGAGAAAAAAAAACCUAUUAUCAAACUCUAAAGUAAAAAUCAAUGCAUUAUGCAAAAUUAAUCCUCUAUGGAAAAAUGAAAUGGAGGUUUGAUUUUAAUCCUUGAUUUUGUUCCACAUCUGUUCAUACUUGCCAUUUGUACAACCCCACUUCCUUUUCCUUCACCAUAAAUGUAAAUGGAAGUACAGAAUAGCAUAAACAGGUGUGAGCUGUGAAAAAGAUAUUCGCCUGAUCAGUUAAAUUCUGAUUAACUCUUAAGAGUUUCCACAUUCAACUUGCUUCCAAUUUAUAAUUCCUGUUAUGUUCAUAUGUCAAGAAUCUGCUCAUCAAUAUUGUGUAAUAGCUUAGUAGAUUUACAAUAUUAUUAUUAGUCAAAUUAUUAGUAAAUUAUUGGAUGGAAACGUUGCUAUGAAUUACCUUCUGAAAUUAUAUCAAACUAUUGCCAAAAAUAUUUAGUAUUGCAGAACUGACAUCUCAAUGGAAUUAAUUAAUUUUUUCAUUGUCUCAAUCAAAAAUAUACUUCUAUGAGAACUAGUGUGUUUUAGUGAUUGUUUGUCUUUGAACUAGCCACUCUCUCUUAAUUUAGUCUAUCUCACAGAGUGGUUGUUGUGGGGGGGAAAGUAGAGGAGGGUAUGCUAUGCUCUUCAAGAAGAAGGGUGGGAUAUCAAUUUAACAUAUCAAAUCAAAUUUUAAUAACAUAUAUAAAUUAAGAAUCUAUCAGUUAGAAACACCUUACACUGCUUGGAAACUCUCAGCAGAAAAAGAUUUCUGGUAGCUGAAAUAAUUAUUUGCUCUUUUAAAAAACUGUCAUACAAAUUAUGUUCUUUCUAAGAUACACUCAAAUAAGAACUUUAUUAGUGUGAAUUGAAAAAGUGUCAUACAUGGGCAAAAAUGUGUUUCAGGAUAGUCAAGUGAUUAUUAAUAUUUCAAAAAUUACCUUAUAUAGGUAUUUCUAAUAGCCUAAAUACUAUAACAGAACUGAGUAGAUACUAGAAACAGAAUGGAGCACAACAUAUUUCUAAGGCAAUCUUUCCUAACUUGCUAUAAUAUGGUUCCAAACUUCUUUAAGGAAAAUAUCAUUGAAAAAUGCACAGAAAGUAUAAUCUGACACAUUUGGAUAAUAUUUUCCUGAAAAAGACUCUCUGAGAGAUAGAAAAUAUAUGUGGUACAAAAUAACAAAAUCAAAAAGUGUUGAAGUGCCCUCUGCAAAAGAGUACAUUCAUUAUGGGAAACCCAUUACAUCCAGUGAAUUGUAGUAUUUCAGGGCAAAAUAAAUAAAUACAAACACACAAAUAUGUUGGGCCAUUCUAAAAUACGCAACAAUUAUUGGUUAUCUCAGAUUCUGGGAACCAAAAAUAAAUCAGAAAUAUCCUAAAGUGUAUUCCUAACAUAAACCUCAUAAUCCAGGAAUUGGAACCACUGGUCUUCCAAACUUUUAUAAUCAGUAGCCCCCAGCAGCCCUUCAAGAUUAAGAAUGCUGAGAAAUGCAUUUUAUUGGCAUCUAGAGAGCUACAUAUUCCCUACUCUGCUACAACUGAGUAGUAAAUUUGGGCUUUUAGAUUAACUACCUGUAUUGUUUCACGGAUUAGAGACUGUGGAUCAGGUGCCUCAGGUUCUGCUUGUUUUAUUGUAUUUGGUUUUUAUUAUUGUCGUGAGCCAUUCAGAAUUGUGUUUUACAAGUUGGACAACCAAAAAGUGUUUUAAAUAAUUUACAGCAUAGGAUUUCCUUAUAAGAAAUGUUCCAUACCAAAAAAUCAGAAAACAUUACUGUGUCAGAAAUGCUGCAUGCAAGUAGUAGGAUUACAGUAUAGCAUCUUCAUGUUUAUAAACUACUGUUAUUAAUACCUGGGAGAUUAAUUAGCAAAAUGAGAUGAAAGCUUUAUUUCCAUCUGUCUUGCAGUUUAAGUCCAACCAUCAACUUCU
RNA transcript from Ahaetulla prasina, 16045 nucleotides. It is a transcript of the gene named VPS8 subunit of CORVET complex, with no coding region annotated. Lineage: Eukaryota; Metazoa; Chordata; Lepidosauria; Squamata; Colubridae. The record is from RefSeq and is a predicted model, not a curated record. The transcript has 47 exons.